GGGGUUGUAGCUCAGCGGUAGAGCCCUCGCCUAGCAAGUGUGAGGCCUUGGGUUCAAUCCUCAGCAUCACAU
Molecule: transfer RNA, 72 nt
Filed under: Ictidomys tridecemlineatus (thirteen-lined ground squirrel)
Lineage: Eukaryota; Metazoa; Chordata; Mammalia; Rodentia; Sciuridae
Description: Spermophilus tridecemlineatus (thirteen-lined ground squirrel) tRNA
Rfam family: tRNA
About the family: Transfer RNA (tRNA) molecules are approximately 80 nucleotides in length. Their secondary structure includes four short double-helical elements and three loops (D, anti-codon, and T loops).
Source: Rfam by way of RNAcentral